UGUGUAGGCGGAUCGUUAAGUACCUUGUGAAAUCCCACGGCUCAACCGUGGAACUGCUGGGUAUACUGGCGGUCUUGAGCCACCUAGGGGCGAGCGGAACAAGCGGUGGAGCGGUGAAAUGCGUAGAUAUCGCUUGGAACGCCAACGGUGAAAACAGCUCGCUGGGGGUGUGCUGACGCUGAGACACGAAAGCCAGGGGAGCGAACG
RNAcentral lists this ribosomal RNA (207 nucleotides) under uncultured bacterium. RNAcentral's name for it is "partial 16S ribosomal RNA". It matches the Rfam family "Bacterial small subunit ribosomal RNA", at positions 568 to 774 of the family's 1533-position model. The record is from RNAcentral.